Molecule: ribosomal RNA, 506 nt
Filed under: uncultured bacterium
Lineage: Bacteria
Description: partial 16S ribosomal RNA
Rfam family: Bacterial small subunit ribosomal RNA
Source: RNAcentral
AGUGAACGCUGGCGGUAGGCCUAACACAUGCAAGUCGAACGGCAGCACAGGAGAGCUUGCUCUCUGGGUGGCGAGUGGCGGACGGGUGAGGAAUACAUCGGAAUCUACUCUGUCGUGGGGGAUAACGUAGGGAAACUUACGCUAAUACCGCAUACGACCUACGGGUGAAAGCAGGGGAUCUUCGGACCUUGCGCGAUUGAAUGAGCCGAUGUCGGAUUAGCUAGUUGGCGGGGUAAAGGCCCACCAAGGCGACGAUCCGUAGCUGGUCUGAGAGGAUGAUCAGCCACACUGGAACUGAGACACGGUCCAGACUCCUACGGGAGGCAGCAGUGGGGAAUAUUGGACAAUGGGCGCAAGCCUGAUCCAGCCAUACCGCGUGGGUGAAGAAGGCCUUCGGGUUGUAAAGCCCUUUUGUUGGGAAAGAAAUCCAGCUGGUUAAUACCCGGUUGGGAUGACGGUACCCAAAGAAUAAGCACCGGCUAACUUCGUGCCAGCCGCCGCCGUAA